RNAcentral lists this long non-coding RNA (578 nucleotides) under Bos taurus (domestic cattle). Its description in RNAcentral is "long non-coding RNA NONBTAT004805". Lineage: Eukaryota; Metazoa; Chordata; Mammalia; Artiodactyla; Bovidae. The record is from RNAcentral.
GGUUGAGUGAACACGUAAUACCUAAUUCCCAGAGAGCAAAUAGUACUUUAAUAGUUUCAGGAUUCUGAUGAGUUGUUCCUCUGAAAGAAUUUAUCAGCAGCAUCACCAUAUUCUAUUAUUAAUGUGAACUUUAAAGAGUUAGUUUGACCUUCAUGAUAGUUCUUUUGUAAGAUGAAGUCACUGGCUAAUUAAAAGAAGAAAUUGUCUUAAUCGUUCUUGAGACUGGAUGGAAUGUAAGUUUAUACAUAUGUAGUAGACCACAAGUUACUUAAGGGCACUCAUGAUUAAAAUGAGGAUUUCCUCUUUGACAAGGCUCUUCAAGUUUUUACUUUUUCUUAAGAUGUUAAAUAUCAACUUUAUAAUCUUGCUAGGAAAGAGAAAAUAGAAUGUGAGAGAUUAGAACAGAAUAUUCUAUAUUGGAAUAAAAGGUAAGCUGAAGAACAUUUUAAUGACUGUUUUACUUGCCUGUUUUAUGUAUAAUUGCACUGGGCCAGUGCUUCCUGACUUUUUAUUUUCAAAAAUAUCCCUGGCACUCUUGACAACUAGUGUAUUUUUAGUGCCUGGUAAUUAAGAAAAUG